RNAcentral lists this ribosomal RNA (772 nucleotides) under uncultured bacterium. Its description in RNAcentral is "bacterial SSU rRNA". It matches the Rfam family "Bacterial small subunit ribosomal RNA", at positions 1 to 789 of the family's 1533-position model. The record is from RNAcentral.
UGAGAGUUUGAUCCUGGCUCAGGAUGAACGCUAGCGGCAGGCCUAAUACAUGCAAGUCGAACGGGCCGCAAGGUCAGUGGCAAACGGGUGCGUAACGCGUAAGCAACCUGCCCUCAACUGGGGGAUAGCCCGGCGAAAGCUGGGGUAAACCCGCACGGUCCCACGAAGUCACCUGGUUUUUUGGGUAGACAUUUAUGGGUUGAGGAGGGGCUUGCGUCUGAUUAGCUAGUUGGCGGGGUAACGGCCCACCAAGGCGAUGAUCAGUAGGGGUUCUGAGAGGAUUGGCCCCCACAUGGGUACUGAGAUACGGACCCAACUCCUACGGGAGGCAGCAGUAGGGAAUAUUGGGCAAUGGGCGCAAGCCUGACCCAGCCAUGCCGCGUGCAGGAUGAAGGCGCUCAGCGUUGUAAACUGCUUUUAUCGGUGAAGAACGGCAGUCCUGCGGGAUUGUGUGACGGUAGCCGAGGAAUAAGCACCGGCUAACUCCGUGCCAGCAGCCGCGGUAAUACGGAGGGUGCAAGCGUUGUCCGGAUUUAUUGGGUUUAAAGGGUGCGUAGGUGGUCGUCUAAGUCUGGUUUUAAAGUUGGCUGCUUAACAGUCAAAGGUGGCUGGAAACUGGACGACUUGAAUGGGAUGGCGGUAGCCGGAAUGGGCCAUGUAGCGGUGAAAUGCAUAGAUAUGACCCGGAACACCGAUUGCGAAGGCAGGCUACUACGUCCCGAUUGACACUGAAGCACGAGAGCAUGGGUAGCGAACAGGAUUAGAUACCCUG